This 920-nucleotide ribosomal RNA is filed under the name uncultured Ascomycota. Its description in RNAcentral is "eukaryotic LSU rRNA". The stretch from base 277 to 920 matches the Rfam family "Eukaryotic large subunit ribosomal RNA", at positions 1 to 664 of the family's 3401-position model. The record is from RNAcentral. Lineage: Eukaryota; Fungi; Ascomycota.
AUCGAUGAAGAACGCAGCGAAAUGCGAUAAGUAAUGUGAAUUGCAGAAUUCAGUGAAUCAUCGAAUCUUUGAACGCACAUUGCGCCCUCUGGUAUUCCGGGGGGCAUGCCUGUUCGAGCGUCAUUACACCACUCAAGCUCAGCUUGGUAUUAGGUCUCACCUGCUAAAGGCGGGCCGUAAAAUCAGUGGCGGUGCCAUCUGGCUUCAAGCUUAGUAAUUAUUCUAGCUUAGGAGUACCAGGUGUGUGCCUGCCAGCAACCCCAAUUUUUUAAAGGUUGACCUCGGAUCAGGUAGGGAUACCCGCUGAACUUAAGCAUAUCAAUAAGCGGAGGAAAAGAAACCAACAGGGAUUGCCUCAGUAACGGCGAGUGAAGCGGCAACAGCUCAAAUUUGAAAUCUGGCCUUUGGUCCGAGUUGUAAUUUGUAGAGGAUGUUUCGAGCAUGGUCCGGUCUAAGUUCCUUGGAACAGGACGUCAUAGAGGGUGAGAAUCCCGUAUGCGACUGGGUGCCUAAGCUUAUGUGAAACUCCUUCAAUGAGUCGAGUUGUUUGGGAAUGCAGCUCUAAAUGGGUGGUAAAUUUCAUCUAAAGCUAAAUAUUGGCCAGAGACCGAUAGCGCACAAGUAGAGUGAUCGAAAGAUGAAAAGCACUUUGGAAAGAGAGUUAAACAGUACGUGAAAUUGUUGAAAGGGAAGCGCUUGCAACCAGACUUGCAUGCAGUUAAUCAUCCGGUGUUCUCACCGGUGCACUUGAUUGUAUUCAGGCCAGCAUCGGUUUCAGUGGUUGGAUAAAGGCCUUGGGAAUGUAGCUUCUUUCGGGGAGUGUUAUAGCCCUCGGUGUAAUGCAGCCUACUGGGACCGAGGACCGCGCUUCGGCUAGGAUGCUGGCGUAAUGGUUGUAAGCGACCCGUCUUGAAACACGG